GUAGGGGGCGAGCGUUGUCCGGAUUUACUGGGCGUAAAGCGCGUGUAGGCGGCCGAAUAAGUUGGGUGUGAAAGCCCGGGGCUCAACCCCGGGACGCCGCCCAAGACUGUUUGGCUUGAGGACGGAAGAGGGGCGUGGAAUUCCAGGUGUAGCGGUGAAAUGCGUAGAGAUCUGGAGGAACACCCGUGGCGAAGGCGGCGCCCUGGUCCGUUUCUGACGCUGAGACGCGAAAGCGCGGGGAGCGAACGGGAUUAGAUACCCCGGUAGUCCGCGCCGUAAACGAUGGUCACUAGGUGUGCGCGGUAUCGACCCCGCGUGUGCCGUCGCUAACGCAUUAAGUGACCCGCCUGGGGAGUACGGCCGCAAGGUUG
Molecule: ribosomal RNA, 371 nt
Filed under: uncultured bacterium
Lineage: Bacteria
Description: bacterial SSU rRNA
Rfam family: Bacterial small subunit ribosomal RNA
Source: RNAcentral